This 364-nucleotide ribosomal RNA is filed under the name uncultured bacterium. RNAcentral's name for it is "bacterial SSU rRNA". It matches the Rfam family "Bacterial small subunit ribosomal RNA", at positions 527 to 893 of the family's 1533-position model. The record is from RNAcentral.
GGAGGGUGCAAGCGUUAUCCGGAUUCACUGGGUUUAAAGGGUGCGUAGGCGGGCAGGUAAGUCCGUGGUGAAAUCUCCAAGCUUAACUUGGAAACUGCCGUGGAUACUAUUUGUCUUGAAUAUAGUGGAGGUGAGCGGAAUAUGUCAUGUAGCGGUGAAAUGCUUAGAUAUGACAUAGAACACCCAUUGCGAAGGCAGCUCGCUACACUAUUAUUGACGCUGAGGCACGAAAGCGUGGGGAUCAAACAGGAUUAGAUACCCUGGUAGUCCACGCCCUAAACGAUGAUUACUCGACAUCAGCGAUACACUGUUGGUGUCUGAGCGAAAGCAUUAAGUAAUCCACCUGGGAAGUACGACCGCAAGG